RNAcentral lists this ribosomal RNA (446 nucleotides) under uncultured bacterium. RNAcentral describes it as "partial 16S ribosomal RNA". It matches the Rfam family "Bacterial small subunit ribosomal RNA", at positions 354 to 796 of the family's 1533-position model. The record is from RNAcentral.
GUAGGGAAUAUUGGACAAUGGGGGGAACCCUGAUCCAGCCAUGCCGCGUGGAGGAAGACUGCCCUCUGGGUUGUAAACUCCUUUUAUAUGGGAAGAACCGUCCUCAUUAAUGAGUGACCUGACGGUACCAUAGGAAUAAGCACCGGCUAACUCCGUGCCAGCAGCCGCGGUAAUACGGAGGGUGCAAGCGUUAUCCGGAUUCACUGGGUUUAAAGGGUGCGUAGGCGGAUAAAUAAGUCAGUGGUGAAAUCAACGGGCUCAACCUGUUAACUGCCAUUGAUACUGUGUAUCUUGAAUAUGAGAGAGGUAGGCGGAAUGUUGCAUGUAGCGGUGAAAUGCUUAGAUAUGCUACGGAACACCGAUUGCGAAGGCAGCUUACUAUUUCAUGAUUGACGCUGAGGCACGAAAGCGUGGGUAGCGAACAGGAUUAGAAACCCGGGUAGUCC